Pseudopipra pipra is the source of this 2307-nucleotide long non-coding RNA. RefSeq lists it as uncharacterized. The record is from RefSeq and is a predicted model, not a curated record. NCBI's taxonomy places the organism in Eukaryota, Metazoa, Chordata, Aves, Passeriformes, Pipridae. The transcript is spliced from 5 exons.
CGGGACCACCGGCGGGAGAACUACAGCUCCCAGCGCGCCCCGCGCGGCGCCCCGCCCGCGCUUUACUUGUCGUGCCCUCCCGGUGUAUGCUGGGAGUGGUAGGCCUAGCGGGAGCGCUGGCUGCCAACGUGCGCGCUGGGAAUUGUAGUCCGUGGCGUGGCGCUGCGCCGGGGCAGCGCCGGGCGGGACGGGAGUGGCUCCACCGGGGCUGUCCCGGGGCCGGGAUGCCGCUCCCUGCCUCAGCUGCGCCGGGCUCUGCGCUGGGGCGGUGCCGUCCCACCUGCGCGGGCCUGCCCGGCCCCGGCGAGCCGCUGCCUGCCCGCCCGCCGGGGCCGCCGCACCUCCCCCCGCUCGCCUCAAACCUGGGCUUUGGGCGCUUUUAUGGUUGUUUUUUUUUUUUUCUUUUUUUUUACAGAAAAUCCUCAGCAGACACCGUCCAGCAGACAGGCGUGGCCAGGGCGUACGCGUCCCGGUGUUCACUUCCAGGCAGCGCCUCGGGAUUCGCGACGUGAAUCAAGGUCCUGUUUGACAUGUAAACAGCAGUAAAAGCCGGUGUCUUUCUAAACACCGAGAGAUUAAAUGUCGCCGAACCUGAUGGGCCAGCGUACCGGGAUCCCCCCCGCCCCCCAAGAGGAUAGGUUCGCCUUUUGGAAGAUCCUUGCCGCUGGGAGCAGCUUCCCUGGGAAACCCCCCUGGGGAGCCGCGGUUUGACCCGGUGUCGGUGGACAGGGAUUUGCCUAUCCUGGGCCUCUGCGAUGUCCCAGCAAGCCCCGAUUCCGGGACGUGGUGUAAUUUUAGAGUUUGCUAAUGAGCUUGCCUGUGUGCCCGGCACACAGUGUGUGCCUUGAGGAUUGGCAGUGCAGGCUGGUAAUCCUGCUAACCUGGCCCUGGCAGGUGGUGACAACUCCUUUAAUUGUUCUAGGAUUGAGAGCUGGCUUCUUGCUAUGCACAGAGCCUGGCGUGGAUGAGUAAAAUGAGGGAGAAAAUUAUUUUUGCUAAUAAUUCUUUUCCAUUCUGCCUUGAUGGUGGCUGCUGGCAUGCUCCCCUCUGCAAGCUUAGGCACCGUGCUGGACCUGUCAGCUGUGGGAUCCAAGGCUUAGGUUUGCUGGGACAUAAAACUGUGAUAAAACAUUUAUGUUCCAGUAAGCGACACCUCUCUGAUAGUUAUUUAAAGUCUCUGUCUGCAUUGUUCCAGAACUAUUUCCUUUUUCCUCUAAGCAACCUAGAGUAGGAAGCUGACGGUCCCUCAGGUAACCCGCUUUCACCUCGCUGGAAGCCUCGCCUGAUGUUGGAUUGGAGGCCAGCAGAACCCACAGAGGAUACUCCGAGUGCAGCAGACAGCAGAGAUGUGCAUUGCUGGAAUCCAGAGUGUUUCGUAAUUUGGCAGCCACUUGCUGAAAGCCCUGCAGAUACAAAACAACACUUAUUUCAAGUCUUGAGAAACAUCUACUAAGUAGAAGAAAAAAGCAUUUAGAGCGUGUUUCACCUCUGUGUGUGCUGACAAGAUCAGAAGUGCAGGGUGCCAGCAUGACUGUGACUGUGUUGAACAAUGCACACCAAUGCUUUCAGAAAUACAGUGGGAUCCUCAAGCUGUAUGCAAAAGACAAGAAGGAGAUGACCCUAUUCAGUGUGAUGAUUUUUCUUUCACUGCUACAUACGUAAAAGUGUCUGGAAAUCUAUUAUCCAAGGGACACAAAACCAGCUUUUUGACAGGCUGCUCUUCCUGCUAAAACCUGGUAAAUGCAGAGACCUGACUGUGUGAAAGAGCAAUUUAUAUUAGGAUUGGAAUUCACUUCAGGCUUUACUGCUAUUUGUCACCACUCAGGAAACCCAUCCCUAGCUCUAGGAGAACACUCAAUCCCUGCUGACAGCCUGGAAGAGGAAGAGAAAAUAGCAGAGCUGCAGCUAUUAAGACCAACAGGCAAAUAUUUUAUUCAAACUCAACUUUUUCUUCCCGAGUUACUUUUAAAGAAUAUUUUUCUGUUUGUGGGAAUGUGAAUGUGGGUUGUUUGUUUGUUUGUUUGUUUUCCUGGGGACUCUCCUAUUCAGCCACUUCAUCUUCUCCCACCUUUCAGACAGCAGAGCUCGCAGCAGUGACAAGAUGUAAUCCUAAGUAAAACUGCCUCUGCCUGUGGCCUUGGUUAACCUGCUGGCAGUGAUACGUGUCUGGGCACGGGGCAACUGUUUUACACAGCUCAGCAUGGACGUGCUGCCACUCCCAGUCACUUUUAGGACCCAGUUGAGUUGUUUACAGCAAUCUCAAAAAAAGCUUGUAAUAAAAAUUGUUCUGCCUUCCUGAAGCCACCA